UCCCUGGUGGUCCAGCGGUUAAGGCUCUAUACUUCCAAUGCAGGGGACUCGGGUUCCAACCCUGGUCAAGGAA
Molecule: transfer RNA, 73 nt
Filed under: Bos taurus (domestic cattle)
Lineage: Eukaryota; Metazoa; Chordata; Mammalia; Artiodactyla; Bovidae
Also listed under: 2 other names
Rfam family: tRNA
About the family: Transfer RNA (tRNA) molecules are approximately 80 nucleotides in length. Their secondary structure includes four short double-helical elements and three loops (D, anti-codon, and T loops).
Source: Rfam by way of RNAcentral